This is a non-coding RNA of Podarcis lilfordi (Lilford's wall lizard), 81 nucleotides long. The record is from the annotation of a GenBank genome assembly. NCBI's taxonomy places the organism in Eukaryota, Metazoa, Chordata, Lepidosauria, Squamata, Lacertidae.
GCUGAUGGAUAGCUGAGUUGGUUAGAACGUGGUGCUGAUAAUGCCAAGGUUGUAGGUUCAAUCCAACUGCAUAUUCCUGCA